GACGAACGCUGGCGGCGUGCCUAACACAUGCAAGUCGAGCGGGGAGGAGGAAGCUUGCUUCCGAAUCCUAGCGGCGGACGGGUGAGUAACGCGUGAGCAACCUGCCUCAAACAGGGGGAUAACGCAUCGAAAGAUGUGCUAAUACCGCGUAAGACCACGGCACCGCAUGGUGCAGAGGUCAAAGGAGCAAUCCGGUUUGAGAUGGUCUCGCGUCUGAUUAGCUAGAUGGCGGGGUAACGGCCCACCAUGGCGACGAUCAGUAGCCGGUCUGAGAGGAUGAACGGCCACAUUGGGACUGAGAUACGGCCCAGACUCCUACGGGAGGCAGCAGUGGGGAAUAUUGGGCAAUGGGGGAAACCCUGACCCAGCAACGCCGCGUGAAGGAAGAAGGCCUUCGGGUUGUAAACUUCUUUUAGCAGGGACGAAGAACGUGACGGUACCUGCAGAAAAAGCAACGGCUAACUACGUG
Molecule: ribosomal RNA, 469 nt
Filed under: uncultured bacterium
Lineage: Bacteria
Description: bacterial SSU rRNA
Rfam family: Bacterial small subunit ribosomal RNA
Source: RNAcentral